GGAUAUAGUUUAAUGGUAAAACAUAAAUCUCCAAAAUUUAUAAUAUUGGUUCAAUUCCAAUUAUCCGCG
Molecule: transfer RNA, 69 nt
Filed under: Candidatus Riesia sp.
Lineage: Bacteria; Pseudomonadati; Pseudomonadota; Gammaproteobacteria; Enterobacterales; Enterobacteriaceae
Description: tRNA-Trp
Rfam family: tRNA
About the family: Transfer RNA (tRNA) molecules are approximately 80 nucleotides in length. Their secondary structure includes four short double-helical elements and three loops (D, anti-codon, and T loops). Further hydrogen bonds mediate the characteristic L-shaped molecular structure. tRNAs have two regions of fundamental functional importance: the anti-codon, which is responsible for specific mRNA codon recognition, and the 3' end, to which the tRNAs corresponding amino acid is attached (by aminoacyl-tRNA synthetases). tRNAs cope with the degeneracy of the genetic code in two manners: having more than one tRNA (with a specific anti-codon) for a particular amino acid; and 'wobble' base-pairing, i.e. permitting non-standard base-pairing at the 3rd anti-codon position.
Source: RNAcentral